Long non-coding RNA from Gopherus evgoodei (Goodes thornscrub tortoise), 1843 nucleotides. RefSeq lists it as uncharacterized. NCBI's taxonomy places the organism in Eukaryota, Metazoa, Chordata, Testudines, Testudinidae. The record is from RefSeq and is a predicted model, not a curated record. The transcript has 2 exons.
ACACUACAGACUCCCUGACACACGUUUUUCAGAAACUGAGGAAUUCUUCAGCUAAAGAGAGGAUGACUGCCUGCCAAUCCUGACCAAAGCGUUUAUUUCAGAGGGUGACACCCAGAUUUUUACACACUACUCCAGCCGAGGCCUCACCAAUGCCAAGCAAAGCAAGACAAUUACCUCCUGCGUCUUACAUACAACACUUCUAAUACACUCCAGAAUUAUAUUAGCCUUUUUCGCAAAAGCAUCACAUUGUCGACUCAUAUUUAAUUCGCAAGCCACUAUAACUUCCAGAUCCUUCUCAGCAGUACUGUCAUCUAGCCAGUUACUCCCCAUGUUGCAGUUGUGCAUUUGAUUUCUCCUUCUUAAGUGAAGCACUUUGCACUUGUCUUUACUGAAUUUCAUCUUGUUGAAUUCAGACUAUUUCUCCAAUUUGACAAGGUCAUUUUGAAUCAGUCAUGAUGUGGACACAUGGCUCUUUGCCUGUAUAGAAGUCGCAAGCAAAGGUCAACAGCUGACAUUUCUGUGGCCUGUCAUGCCAUAACAUAUCAGCAGCCUUCCUUUCACCAAGCCAUUUAAAAACAUACCAUAGCAAACUAUCUUGCAUUGGGGGUGCAUAGACUAGAAGAACUAAUGGAAAUUUCCACAUUAAUUCCUAUUAUUCUAAAAAGAAGGGAUGGAGGGGGAGACGAAGCCUGCUCAUGUACAUGAAACCCAUACACUUCUACUUUUCCUGUGAUGGCCACCAAAUGAUUAGGGUUCAAGUGUUUAAGGAACUGGCCUUGGAUUCAAGAGAUGGAACUUCAAUUUCCUGCUCUGCCUCAGGCUCCCUGCAUGACCUCAGGCAAGUCACCUGGGUGAAGACCUUCAAAGGUGCAAAUGGCAGUUUAGUGACCAACACCCACGGACUUUCAAGGGGAGUUUGGCACCUAUUUAUGCCCUUGAAAAAUCCGCCCCUAAUUAGUCUCUCUGGACCUGAGUUCCCCAUCUGUAAAGUGGGGAUAACAGCACUGCUGUACCUCACAGGGUGUUGGGAGGAUAAACGUAUUGGAGGUUGAGAAGCACUCAGAUACUACAGCAAUGGGGUCAGAUACGUACCUAGGCACAUAGAAAUCUAAUCAGCACUCCGAAAACACUAUUUAAAAGCAAGCCUAGAUCUCUCUUUUCUGAAAGAGCUCAAUAUGCAAUUGCUUCUAUCAAGCUGUUUCGUUCAGAACCUUCACAUUCUGAACCCAUCCACUUCACUACAGAUACGCAUGUCAUCGCGGUGGAUUUAAAUUCAGAGCAUUAUUGGCUGCUCUGGGGUUCUUCAUGAGUAAACAGUGAACUCACACAGGAACAAAGCUGCCUCAAGAGAAAAACUGCCAUCUGUUUACACAACUACACAGGCCAGAUAAAAUGCUAGUGACUUUAUUAUAUACAAGAUUUAAAAAAAAAAAAAAAAAAAUCAUCUCCUCCUCCUCCUCCUCUCACUACAUCAAGUUCAAGUUUCCAGUCCUCAUCUUUAAGGCUCUUCACAACACUGCCCUUCCUUACUUGUCUGCUCAUGUUUCUUCUUGCAUUGCCUUUCUUCUCUGCUCUGCCAAUGAUGGCAGUCUUCUCUGAGUGACCAUUUGCCAGCUUCUCACAUAAACGUGCCUGAACUUUCCUCCAUAGUACUCCUAACGCAUAGAAUGCUGUCCCAGAACUGAUCUGUACCGCUGCUGUCCUUUCCUCCUUCACAUCCAUUCUCCAGGCCCACUUCUGCUGCUAUUCCUACACGAGACCAGCCAACUCAUGAUGGCUGCAUUAAAGGGCAGAUCGGCUAGCUCGCAUGUAUCUAUUUAAUAAAUAAUCAUGUGCCAAUACA